CAACAAGUUUCCUCGAAGCUGAUUGCUAAGUAUCCUCCAAUUUCGAAGCCAUUCUCCACAAUAAGAUUAGAAGAACUAUUUCCCUAAAGUAGUGCGAACGUUUGAAUAUUUUUCUUGCAGAUACCGUUGAUCCAACAUAUUUUCUGUGAAGCAAGUAGUGUUGCAGAUAUUUUAGCCAAACAAGAAGCAUUGAGAUCUGAAGAUUUCAUUCCUUACUUUUGAGUUUUUGCCUUGGGUUUUCGGCGUUAAUUUGGGUUUGCAUUUGCGUUGUUUUGAUUGGAACUUCUGUUCGAUGUAAUUUUGGUUGUCUGUACCCCUCAUUUCAUGCUUUUUUUUACUUAAUAUGCCAUGUUCUAGGUCAAGUGUAUCAG
This 371-nucleotide unclassified non-coding RNA is filed under the name Hevea brasiliensis (rubber tree). Lineage: Eukaryota; Viridiplantae; Streptophyta; Magnoliopsida; Malpighiales; Euphorbiaceae. The record is from RNAcentral.